AAGGGUCACUAGGGGUGGUUUUGCUGAGAGUCCCGCGGCGGCGGGGCAACCCUCAUCACCUGAUCUGGGUAAUACCAGCGUAGGGAAGUGACACGGACAAAGA
This 103-nucleotide non-coding RNA is filed under the name Desulfacinum infernum. RNAcentral's name for it is "TPP sequence". It matches the Rfam family "TPP riboswitch aptamer (THI element)". Rfam says of the family: Vitamin B(1) in its active form thiamin pyrophosphate (TPP) is an essential coenzyme that is synthesised by coupling of pyrimidine and thiazole moieties in bacteria. The previously detected thiamin-regulatory element, thi box was extended, resulting in a new, highly conserved RNA secondary structure, the THI element, which is widely distributed in eubacteria and also occurs in some archaea. Analysis of operon structures identified a large number of new candidate thiamin-regulated genes, mostly transporters, in various prokaryotic organisms. Lineage: Bacteria; Pseudomonadati; Thermodesulfobacteriota; Syntrophobacteria; Syntrophobacterales; Syntrophobacteraceae. The record is from RNAcentral.